Molecule: ribosomal RNA, 480 nt
Filed under: uncultured soil bacterium
Lineage: Bacteria
Description: bacterial SSU rRNA
Rfam family: Bacterial small subunit ribosomal RNA
Source: RNAcentral
AGAUUGAACGCUGGCGGCAGGCCUAACACAUGCAAGUCGAGCGGCAGCACGGGUACUUGUACCUGGUGGCGAGCGGCGGACGGGUGAGUAAUGCCUAGGAAUCUGCCUGGUAGUGGGGGAUAACGCUCGGAAACGGACGCUAAUACCGCAUACGUCCUACGGGAGAAAGCAGGGGACCUUCGGGCCUUGCGCUAUCAGAUGAGCCUAGGUCGGAUUAGCUAGUUGGUGGGGUAAUGGCUCACCAAGGCGACGAUCCGUAACUGGUCUGAGAGGAUGAUCAGUCACACUGGAACUGAGACACGGUCCAGACUCCUACGGGAGGCAGCAGUGGGAAUAUUGGACAAUGGGCGAAAGCCUGAUCCAGCCAUGCCGCGUGUGUGAAGAAGGUCUUCGGAUUGUAAAGCACUUUAAGUGGAGAAGGCAGUUACCUAAUACGUAUCUGUUUGACGUUACGUCAGUAAUAGCACGGCUAACUCUGUG